CUCUUUAUGAUUAUAGUUAUAUAAAGUAUAGCCUGCUCACUGACUUAUAUAGUUAAAGAGCCGCGGUAUUCUGACCGUGCGAAGGUAGCAUAAUAAUUAGCCUUUUAAUUGAAGGCUUGUAUGAAUGGUUGUACAAAAAGAAAGCUGUCUCAGUUUUAAAAAUUAAACUUAACUUUUAAGUGAAAAGGCUUAAAUAAAUUAGAGGGACGAUAAGACCCUAUAAAGCUUUACUGUUUAAAUUUUUUGAUAUUAGUUAUUAAGUAUAAACUUAUCUGAGUUUUGAUCAGUUUCAUUGGGGCGAUGAAAAUAUAAUAAAUUAACUGUUUUAAACUUUAGUUAUUACAAAUAUUAUUGUGUAUUAAAUGAUCCUUUAAUAAAGAUUAAAAAUUUAAGUUACUUUAGGGAUAACAGCGUAAUCUACCUUGAGAGUCCAAAUCGACAGGAAGGGUUGCGACCUCGAUGUUGAAUUAAAAUUCCUUUUUAAUGUAGCCGUUAAAAUAAGGAGGUCUGUUCGACCUUUAAAAUUUU
This 528-nucleotide ribosomal RNA is filed under the name Acetes chinensis (northern mauxia shrimp). RNAcentral describes it as "partial large subunit ribosomal RNA". It matches the Rfam family "Bacterial large subunit ribosomal RNA", at positions 1819 to 2597 of the family's 2925-position model. The record is from RNAcentral. Lineage: Eukaryota; Metazoa; Arthropoda; Malacostraca; Decapoda; Sergestidae.